This 253-nucleotide ribosomal RNA is filed under the name uncultured bacterium. RNAcentral describes it as "partial 16S ribosomal RNA". It matches the Rfam family "Bacterial small subunit ribosomal RNA", at positions 524 to 776 of the family's 1533-position model. The record is from RNAcentral.
UACAGAGGUCCCAAGCGUUGUUCGGAUUCACUGGGCGUAAAGGGUGCGUAGGUGGCGGGGUAAGUUUGAUGUGAAAUCUCCGGGCUUAACCCGGAAACUGCAUUGAAUACUAUUCUGCUUGAGGUUUGGAGGGGGGACUGGAAUUCUCGGUGUAGCAGUGAAAUGCGUAGAGAUCAUGAGGAAGACCAGUGGCGAAGGCGGGUCUCUGGACAGUUCCUGACACUGAGACACGAAGGCCAGGGGAGCAAACGGG